This is a long non-coding RNA of Suricata suricatta (meerkat), 595 nucleotides long. RefSeq lists it as uncharacterized. The transcript is spliced from 3 exons. The record is from RefSeq and is a predicted model, not a curated record. Lineage: Eukaryota; Metazoa; Chordata; Mammalia; Carnivora; Herpestidae.
CCAGGGUGUGGCUCUGGUUUGCCUCGGCACAUGUCCCGUUAGCACUUUAACAGAACGUGUCUUCUGCUGCUUUGGAAUGGAGCGCUCUGUAAACAUCUUUUCUGUCCACUCCAUCAGUUUUUGGCUUGUAACGUUUAUGGCUCUGUGGUUGGUACAUGUACAUUUAUGAUGUGUGUGUUCAUGGAGAGUCGAAUCUUCUAUGAUCACGUGAGGUUCCCGCUUCACCUGCUGCGGACUUUCCCCUCUGCUUGUUUCUGUGCUUGCAAGGAAGAAACAACUUCCGGAAGGGCUCCUCUGGCUUCCCUUCUGCACCUGCCACGGCCACGGAGAAAAGCCCUGCUGCUCCGGCCCGGGCUCGUGCCACCGUUUCGGGAGGAGAACACGCCUUUUCAGAACCAGCCCAGGCCUGAUCUGACCGGCAGGCAGCAGACACAGGCCCCUCUGUCCGUGGAAGCGCAUCGACUCCUCUGCGGCGGUUUCGGGACGGAUGCAGGAGCAGGCACUCGGCUGCCCCGUGGCCAAGCGGGGACCGCUUCUGUCUCUCGUAGGGACAGACCAAUAGAGCUUCCUGUGAGCCCUUCAUAAGUGUCCGUGA